UCUCCGCGGGAGCGCGGGGCGCGGUUGGGGGCCUGGAGGCCGGGGGUGGAAGGGUGGCGCUCAGCGUAGCCCAUUUCUCAACUGGAGGAUGGCAACCCUCCCCUCCCCUCAAAGCUUAAGGACAUUGAGUUGGCGCGGGCGAAGCGGUGGAGAAACAGGCACCCUCACGCAUUGCCGGUGCAUCUCCAAAACGCCCUCAACACUCAUGAAGCAGGCUACUCCAUCAGAGAGAGAGGCCACAUGGAGGAGCACUGAGGCAUCACACAUGAGGUGAAGAUACCGUCUUGGACACCCAGCUCCAUCAAACCUUCAGAAGAUUCCAGCUCCAGUUCUUAUCUAAAUGCAGCUACCCCAGAGAGCAGAACCACCCAGAUGAAUCAACCCACAGAUUCCUGAGAGAUCCUGAUAAAUAGCUGUGUUAAGCCUCUAAGUCCUUGUUUAUACUCAAGACCUCCUGGGUACCUCGGUGUCUCGUGUUUGUGUCCUAGUAAAGCUUCUGUGCUUUGACUUUUAAAAUAUAAACUGAUAACAAACAAUAA
Suricata suricatta (meerkat) is the source of this 539-nucleotide long non-coding RNA. RefSeq lists it as uncharacterized. The transcript is spliced from 2 exons. The record is from RefSeq and is a predicted model, not a curated record. NCBI's taxonomy places the organism in Eukaryota, Metazoa, Chordata, Mammalia, Carnivora, Herpestidae.